This 1169-nucleotide long non-coding RNA is filed under the name Salmo salar (Atlantic salmon). Its description in RNAcentral is "lncRNA (ENSSSAG00000102888.1)". The stretch from base 1110 to 1163 matches the Rfam family "UnaL2 LINE 3' element". The record is from RNAcentral. Lineage: Eukaryota; Metazoa; Chordata; Actinopteri; Salmoniformes; Salmonidae.
GCACUUUUGACCCCAUUCUGCUCGGAACACUAAAAGAUUCAACUGAACAGCGGUCAAAAUAUGAAGAUUUGGAAUACUCAACUCACCCAAGCAUGUUAAAAUGCAUUAGUACGACACUCAAAAAUCCAAGCUGAGAUAGAAGGGCCAAAGGGGACUGGGAGACUAGUCAGGAUCGAGGGAAAGAUGAAUGGAGCAAAGUAUAGAGAGAUCCUGGAUAAAAACCUCCAGAGCAUUCAGGACCUAAGACUGGGGCGAAGGUUCAUCUUCCAACAGGACACCUAAUCACACAGCCAAGACGAUGCAGGAGUGGCCCCGGGACAAGGGGUCUGAAUACUUUCCGAAUGCACUGUACUAUACGUAGUUUGUGGUCUUCAUUUCUAAUGGGUUUUCUUUCAGAGAAAAAUGUUCCCCCGGGUUCCCCUGAAGAAAUGAUCAAUACCUAAUUAUAGAAUACUGUGUGAGAUACAAUGUGCAAUACUGUGUUUUCAGAGAGGGAGCGAGAAAGGGAUUCCUCACCGUCUAGUUAAUGCUUUCAGAUCACCUCACAUCGAUCCUUCACAUGAAGUUGUCCUUUUAAAUAAUUUAACAACAAUAUGUCUUUUUCACUAUACCACACUUGGGUAAACAAUGUUGAGGAUUGUUUCUAUGAAUACUAACAGAAUCAGAACGAUGGGCAUAUAGCCUACCAUCAAAUCAAACUUUAUUUAAAGUGUAUUUAUCGCAACACAUGGUACGGUAAAAACAGUACAAAAACAAUACAUUGGAAUAACAUUAUUACCACAAAUUCUGAUUGUCUUUGCUUAUCUUGUAGGUGGCUUGUCCAUCUCACAGGGCCCCAGUAAGACUUUGGAUCCGUAGGGUAAAGAUAAUAGAUGUAUUAUUCAUUGUGAGUGGAGAUCACCUUAUUAUUCUGUAAGAGCUGCGUUCAUGGUCACCAGAACACAGUCUGUGUCCCAAUGCACUGGCAUGGCCUUGUACUGUCUGUGAAUCCAAUGUUAGCAUAACGUUAUAUGUAAGUUAGAGUAAAGACCAACAGUGGUCCUCUGUAGCUCAGUUGGUAGAGCAUAGCGCUUGCAAUGCCAAAAUAGUGGGUUCUACUCCUAUAUGAAAAAAUCAUGCACUGUAACUCGCUUUGGACAAAAGCGUCUGCUAAAUGGCAUAUAUAUAGA